AAUACUUUAAUUUAAAAUAAAAUAUGAAUUUGCAAAAUUCAAAAUCUAAUGAUAGAAGUAUUU
RNAcentral lists this transfer RNA (63 nucleotides) under Lynceus grossipedia. Its description in RNAcentral is "tRNA-Cys". The record is from RNAcentral. Lineage: Eukaryota; Metazoa; Arthropoda; Branchiopoda; Diplostraca; Lynceidae.